Drosophila navojoa is the source of this 746-nucleotide long non-coding RNA. Lineage: Eukaryota; Metazoa; Arthropoda; Insecta; Diptera; Drosophilidae. The record is from RefSeq and is a predicted model, not a curated record.
AUGUGUGUGUGUGUGUGUCCGUGUAUCAAUGUGUGUGUGUUUAUAUAUGUAAAGCCAUUUAGCAACACCCUGUAUACUAUGUCUUAUUUGAAAAUUCAACUUCUUCCUCUUCUGCCAUUUAGCAGAGAGUUCAAAUGUUCAAAAAUAAAAAUCAUUGGUAAAUGUUUUGUUUUUGUUUUAUAAAAUGCUUAAAACGUUUGCUAAAACUUAAUUGUAACGACAUUUAACAUUAAAUUGGUGUUUUUUUUUUUUUAGAUUUUUAUAGUUAUAAAAAUACAUAUAUUUAUAUAUAUGUCGACAUAUAAUAAUAUAUAAUAAUUUGUAAAAUGACUAGAUGACGAUAUCAUGGAUCAUGAUGUAAGUAUGUAUGUAUACUAUAUAUAUAUUUAUAUUUGCAAAUGCUAUGAUGAAUGAUGUACGAUGAUCAAAUGUAUUUAUGUAUGUAUGUAUGUACGUCAAUUAGAAUUCUUAGCAAAUUGUUUCAUAUGAAUGGUGUGUGUGUGUGUGUUGCGGUUCGACCGCAGAGACUCAUUAAACUAGAUCUAGAUUUUAUAUAUGUAUAUGUAUAUAUAUGUAUAUACAUAUACAUUAAAUUGAGUCCCAAAAUUGAUUUAAAUUAUUUCUGUAUUAAAUUGUGUAAUUGCAAAAAACGUAAAUAUCCAAUUAGCAUUAUUUAAUCAUGAUGAAAACAAUGUCAACACAAAUAUGAAAACAAGUAAAAGUAUUCCAGUCGUCAAUGACCGACU